CCUACGGGUGGCAGUAGUGAGGAAUAUUGGUCAAUGGGCUUACGCCUGAACCAGCCAAGUCGCGUGAGGGAAGACUGCCCUAUGGGUUGUAAACCUCUUUUGUCAGGGAGCAACGCCGGCUACGUGUAGCCGGACUGAGAGUACCUGAAGAAAAAGCAUCGGCUAACUCCGUGCCAGCAGCCGCGGUAAUACGGAGGAUGCGAGCGUUAUCCGGAUUGAUUGGGGUUAAAGGGUGCGUAGGCGGAAUGCCAAGUCAGCGGGAAAAUCGCGGGGCUCAACCUCGCUCCGCCGUUGAAACUGGCGUUCUGGAGUGGGCGAGAAGUAUGCGGAAGGCGUGGUGUAGCGGUGAAAUGCAUAGAUAUCACGCAGAACUCUGAUUGCGAAGGCAGCAUACCGGCGCCCAACUGACGCUGAAGCACGAAAGCGUGGGUAUCGAACAGGAUUAGAUACCCGGGUAGUC
This 460-nucleotide ribosomal RNA is filed under the name uncultured bacterium. RNAcentral's name for it is "partial 16S ribosomal RNA". It matches the Rfam family "Bacterial small subunit ribosomal RNA", at positions 338 to 795 of the family's 1533-position model. The record is from RNAcentral.